GAUGAACGCUGGCGGCGUGCCUAAUACAUGCAAGUCGAGCGAACGGACGAGAAGCUUGCUUCUCUGAUGUUAGCGGCGGACGGGUGAGUAACACGUGGAUAACCUACCUAUAAGACUGGGAUAACUUCGGGAAACCGGAGCUAAUACCCGAUAAUAUUUUGAACCGCAUGGUUCAAAAGUGAAAGACGGUCUUGCUGUCACUUAUAGAUGUAUCCGCGCUGCAUUAGCUAGUUGGUAAGGUAACGGCUUACCAAGGCAACGAUGCAUAGCCGACCUGAGAGGGUGAUCGGCCACACUGGAACUGAGACACGGUCCAGACUCCUACGGGAGGCAGCAGUAGGGAAUCUUCCGCAAUGGGCGAAAGCCUGACGGAGCAACGCCGCGUGAGUGAUGAAGGUCUUCGGAUCGUAAAACUCUGUUAUUAGGGAAGAACAUAUGUGUAAGUAACUGUGCACAUCUUGACGGUACCUAAUCAGAAAGCCACGGCUAACUACGUG
RNAcentral lists this ribosomal RNA (497 nucleotides) under uncultured bacterium. Its description in RNAcentral is "partial 16S ribosomal RNA". It matches the Rfam family "Bacterial small subunit ribosomal RNA", at positions 28 to 507 of the family's 1533-position model. The record is from RNAcentral.